This 374-nucleotide ribosomal RNA is filed under the name uncultured organism. RNAcentral describes it as "bacterial SSU rRNA". It matches the Rfam family "Bacterial small subunit ribosomal RNA", at positions 526 to 896 of the family's 1533-position model. The record is from RNAcentral.
CGUAGGGUGCGAGCGUUAAUCGGAAUUACUGGGCGUAAAGCGUGCGCAGGCGGUUUUGUAAGACGGAUGUGAAAUCCCCGGGCUCAACCUGGGACCUGCAUUUGUGACUGCAAGGCUAGAGUACGGUAGAGGGGAGUGGAAUUCCGCGUGUAGCAGUGAAAUGCGUAGAUAUGCGGAGGAACACCGAUGGCGAAGGCAAUCCCCUGGACCUGUACUGACGCUCAUGCACGAAAGCGUGGGGAGCAAACAGGAUUAGAUACCCUGGUAGUCCACGCCCUAAACGAUGUCAACUGGUUGUUGGGUCUUUAACUGACUCAGUAACGAAGCUAACGCGUCGAAGUUGACCGCCUGGGGAGUACGGACCGACAAGGUUG